Molecule: ribosomal RNA, 914 nt
Filed under: uncultured archaeon
Lineage: Archaea
Description: bacterial SSU rRNA
Rfam family: Archaeal small subunit ribosomal RNA
Source: RNAcentral
CUGGUUGAUCCUGCCAGAGGUUACUGCUAUCGAGGUUCGACUAAGCCAUGCGAGUCGAAUGUAGCAAUACAUGGCGAACUGCUCAGUAACACGUGGACAACCUGCCCUUAGGUUGGGUAUAAACCCGGGAAACUGGGUAUAAUACCCGAUAGGUCUCGAUUGCUGGAAUGCAUCGAGAUUUAAAGCUCCGGCGCCUAAGGAUGGGUCUGCGGCCUAUCAGGUAGUAGUGGGUGUAGCGUACCUACUAGCCUACGACGGGUACGGGUUGUGAGAGCAAGAGCCCGGAGAUGGAUUCUGAGACACGAAUCCAGGCCCUACGGGGUGCAGCAGGCGCGAAAACUUUACAAUGCUGGCAACAGCGAUAAGGGAACCUCGAGUGCCAGGUUACAAAUCUGGCUGUCGAGAUGCCUAAAAAGCAUUUCAUAGCAAGGGCCGGGCAAGACCGGUGCCAGCCGCCGCGGUAACACCGGCGGCUCGAGUGGUAACCGUUAUUAUUGGGUCUAAAGGGUCUGUAGCCGGCCGGAUAAGUCUCUUGAGAAAUCUGGCAGCUUAACUGUCAGGCUUUCAGGAGAUACUGUCUGGCUCGAGGCCGGGAGAGGUGAGAGGUACUUCAGGGGUAGGGGUGAAAUCUUGUAAUCCUUGAAGGACCACCAGUGGCGAAGGCGUCUCACCAGAACGGACCUGACGGCAAGGGACGAAAGCUAGGGGCACGAACCGGAUUAGAUACCCGGGUAGUCCUAGCCGUAAACGAUACUCGCUAGGUGUCGGCCACGGUGCGACCGUUGUCGGUGCCGUAGGGAAGCCGUGAAGCGAGCCACCUGGGAAGUACGGCCGCAAGGCUGAAACUUAAAGGAAUUGGCGGGGGAGCACCACAACGGGUGGAGCUUGCGGUUUAAUUGGAUUCAACGCCGGGG